UGAUGUGGAUCAUGUAAAUGCUGUUGAGCCUGCAAAAUCACUAUUUGCCGGCAAAGCUGGUAUAAGGCGUGCCAUCGAGGCUGAGGGGAUUCCCUACACCUAUGUCUCUUCCAACUUCUUUGCUGGUUAUUUCUUGCCAAACAUUGGACAGUCUGGGGUCACUGGUCUCCCAACUGAUAAAGUUCAAAUUCUAGGCGAUGGGAAUGUAAAAGGUAAAUCCAAUUAGGCUACCCAAAGUAUGGUUUUUCAUUUUUACUAUAUAAAAAUGUAUCUAUAUUAUGAUGAUGACAUUUGAAUCAAUGAAAUGAGAUUAUGUCUGCACAUUUAUGUGUGUAAAUUCCCGACAACAGGAAUCUUUGCUGUGGAAGACGACGUGGGCACCUACACUAUUAAAGCUGUAGAUGAUCCAAGAACCCUGAACAAGACCCUGUAUCUGAGGCCACCAAGCAACACUUUGUCUCAUAACGAGCUUGUCUCACUCUGGGAGAAGAAAGUUGGUAAGACAUUUGAGAGGGUGUACAUCCCAGAAGACGAAGUCCUGAAGAAGAUUCAAGGUUAGAGUAAAGACAUGUUUUUCUUUGUCAAUUUUACUGAAUCCACUCGCUCAUGCUCACCUUUUCAUUUUCUUUUCCCCCAGAAAUGUGCUGCGCCAAUUUUGUACUGAAUUCACUCUCUCUGAUCUGAUUUGUUUCAGAGUCUCCGCCGCCGCUCAAUGUAGUACUGUCACUCGGCCACUCUGUGUGGGUGAAGGGAGACCACACAAACUUUGAGAUCGAUCCAUCGUUUGGAGUUGAAGCCACUGAGCUUUACCCUGAAGUGAAGUACACUACUGUGGAUGAAUACCUGAACAGGUUCCUUUGAACUCCUAGAAGGUCGUAUAGGAGGGCGCAAAUGUUUGGAUGUGUUGAAUAAAUAUUGGAGGGUAUGUCUUUUAGUCGGAAUACCGUGUAAAUUAUAAUGAUAUUAGGACGUGUGAGAUCUCAAUGGUGUGAUGAAUUGUUCCUGUACUCAAUGGUCUGAGGGAACAUGGCAUUGUAGCUUGAUUUGGUGGGAAACAGCCUAGUUUAUUGUAAACAACAUGGACUACGUUAUUAUAAAAAAUAAUAAGUUUAUGACCCUGAGCUUCGUGUGACCUCUGCCUUCCAGUAAAAACUAAAACUUCAAGGAUCACCAAUUCACCAUCUAACGGGACAACUGAAACAUAAUGUUCACUCAAUUCUGUCAGUAGUCUUUGUUGUUUCUGAAGUUGAGAGAACAUAAAUGGGCAUAUACCUAUAGCCGUCUGACUUUAAAUAUUGAAGAUCGGACCACCAGACGAUGGAGCGAAAAUCAUCGUCAAAAUAUGCACUGCGGAGACUCCGAUACUACUUUCUAGGACUGCAAUUCCCCAAUCCAAGCUACAAUUACAAAUUAAUUAGAAGCAAUUGCUAAUAUAUAGUUGUACGUUUUACUGAGCCAUUUUGUCAUGGCUAUCUCGUUAAUUAAAGAAAAAAAUCUUAUUUACCUUUAUAAAUGUUUGAUUUUGUUGAAUUGCCAACAAAGAUGAACAGAUCUUUGCAGUAAUCUAUGCCCACAAGUAAACCCAAUUGAAUCAUGACUACAUGCUAGCGGUAUUCCUGAUGCCUGCCAUGCCUACUAUGCUCCGAAUGUGAUGAGAAAUGUUAUGCAUGAGAAUGCGCAAGAAACAUACGAGAACCCCUGGUUAUAUGGCCAUCUUGUUUCUGUAUGUAUAUAACUCUCUUGCGCCUCUAUCUCCUGGAGAGUGCACAUGCUGAAAAUAACUACAAAUCUCCCCUCACCGAAGUGCGCAAGAUAUUCUAAAUUGAUUUCUCCUUAUGACUAUCUAAAAAGAGAUAAUGCUCAUCCACCUACCACCAUACACCAUGCAUGUGCCUAGUAUCAUGGACAAGGCCAUGCACUAUUUUGCUGGUGGUGCUUAUCUUGACAUUGCCCUUUGGGAGAACAGUUCGGACUUUCGACGACUUUGAACACAUGGUGCACAUGGAGGUGAGGCUGGCUCACUGAGUGACGAUGGUGUAGCCGUGUAGGGCGGUGGGGACGUGGGGUGGGAGGUUGUUGCACUUGCACCAUGUCCUUGACGCAAUGCUGGGUGAGCAUCUCUGCAUCUCUCCAUCUCCUCCAAUCCUGAUUCCUGACAUUAGGACUCUAUGCUCCUCCACCAUGCGCCUUGUCUUCUCUCUAGCGACAGAUGAUGGCUAUUUCACCCUUUCUGUUGAGUUCGAGGAGACAGAAAUGUGCACUUUAAACAUACAAAGACCAAACCGAGUGUUCUCAUCGCCCUGCUUUCCAUGGCGUGAGAAUGCAUUUCACUCUCAAGAAUAAAUAUUGCUCUGUUUCCUCUGCUAUGCACUAGCUCCCCUGUCUUUCUCUAGUUUCUUGUUUACAUGUUUCAUCAUCAAACCGAACACAACAGGAAUCUCCCUGCCCAUACCAAGACUCGUUUACAUUGUGUAAUUAAUCUUGCCAAACCAGCUAGACCAUGGGCAAGCUUGUUACUCUCUCUUCCAAUUUUUCUCACCGCAAAGUCUUGAAAAAGGGACUUCAGGUGCUUUAUUUCCUCGUAGAUAUGCCAAAUUCUUCCACGAUAGUACGUCAUCAUUCGAUUUGAUCACGAUCACAACAGCACCAUAUCUGAUUCCAGAAUCACCGGGGCUUGCGAGAUGUUGCCCGAUUUUCUUUGGACGCCCUCAAUUUUUAUCACUCAAGGAAGCCUAUACAGAUCUUUACGCUAUCAGGAAAUUAACAACUUAACUAAUAACACCUAGGGGCAUUAAUUUGCAAGGUGACUGCCAUCCAUGACGGGCCAGGGCCUUGAUCGCUCGCUCCACAGGCUCACAUAUAUAUGAUGCCGGUCCUCCACCUUGUGAAGAAUAAACAAAGUACAGAACCAGGGCAUGUACAGUUAUGUAUAACCUGCGCAUGCAGUGAAUGUCAACGGCUAGUGCAGGCGUUUCCCGAGGCGACUCGCUGGGGGAUCUCGCUUUCGCGGCCGUCCAGCGGAAGUCCAGUCGCCGGCGUCUGAUGCGGUAUUGCCGGUUCUCCUGUCUCGUGGUUGGUACUGAACAGGGCGAGAGCUCUCGGGGCUGAGGAGGUGGUCCGCUCUGUGCCUCUGUGCUUGCCGCCGGGCUUGAUGAGAAUGGGGCAGCGAGGGUCUGAGCUCGGUGAACGUGUCGAAGUUUCCGGUCCAGCCGCCGCCUAUGCCGUCGUCUUCGCCGGGGUGGUUUCAUCGUCCGGCCUAGCUUGGUGACCACCGGUUCGGAAUAGGUCGUGGCUCCGGCCGCGGAGGGGGCCCUUGCCGCGGUGCCGGCAGUUGUCGGAGGGUCGCCCGUGGGAAGCCCCAAGAUCAGUUACUGCCUUACUGGCAAUCACGCCGCCAUCUUCGGAUCAGACGCCUGGGCUGUUUGAUCCUUCUUUGCAGAGACCCAUCGUUGGCUGUGGGCCAGAGCGAGAUGGGCCCGAUCGAGGAGAUUCGUUCGCGUCCCCGUUUCAGGCCCAGUCUUUGGGAGCUGUUUGCCCAUAAGGCCUAAUUCGUUACGCCCAACCAGGUGGGUAUCGACGGUGAUGAGUGAAAUUUUAGUUCAUACCUCUUUCCGCUUUGGUUUCAGCUUCGAGAGGGUAUAUUUAAACGCAAGUAUUGGAGGCAGAGUUACGUCGCAUGGUGCCUACUCCAAGUUAAUAAUGUUUUCGUGGUGGUUUUCCCUCUCGAGAGGAACUUUAGAGGGUUGUCAGUAUGGAAAUCCUGUUUAAGGCUCAGAAAAUCUAGUUAGAAUAUAGCGAGCGGAAUCCCGAAGAGGUUCCGCUGCUUUCCAGUUGCACAGAAUCUGGAUUAUUGUCAAAGGAGUUCUUCCAUUCCUGAAACAUGUCAAGUACCUUGAUAUACCCACGUGCUACAAAUGGAUAAGGUACUUGUUAUGGAUGUACUCGGAAACCAGUGGGUCCAAAGGUGAGGAAGAAAAUGUGUCAGCACUCACAUGCAAAAAGGUGGAGAAAAUGGAAAAAGAAAACCAAUUUGUGUGUUCUGACAAAAAGCAAGAGAGAAGAGAGAAAAAGUUGUCAAGUGGUCACAUCGGUCACACUAAAAUAGACCAAUGUAAAAAAAAUGUUUCCUCUCACUCAUCUCUAAUGUAAGGCAUACUAUUUUCGUCCAACAGUAGUAGGCGUAUUAGCUUCCUGAUUAUUCUACUAAUAUAUAAUUAUAUGACAUAAAAUUGAUAUCAUUAUAUUUUUAUUCAAGAACUUGCUUGUGGUUAUGAUGUUGAUCAGAUUAAUCACAUAUUAACGAAGUAAUUUGUGAUCAGAACUUGGUCAACUAAAAUCUAAUAUGUCCAAUAUUGUUGCACGGAGGAAGCAGCAAGUUUAUUGCAUGGCACAUAUCUCAAUACUUCAUCCAAUGGCUAUAAUAGGGUAGGAAUAGAUACUGCAUAGAAUACCGCAUCGGCUUUAAUCAACCAAACAUGCCCUUGGUCCGGUUAAUUACGUUCUCGCCAGAUGUGUGAUAUACAUGUCUUUUUUUUGUUUGAUUGUCGGUCCCGCGGCAAAAUUUGCUCCAUCAAUAUAUGCAACACCUAACGCUGAAAAAGAUCCCCCACCCUUUCCGUUCAAUUAACAUAUCAUUAAGUCCACCGCGCGGCAAACUUGGUUAGCUAUGUAUACAAACUUUAUUAUCAAAAAAAUAUCGUCAAGUCCCAUCAAAAAAUAUAUAUCGUUAAGUCGACGCAAGAAAAAAGAAAGAAGUCCAAGUUUAGUGCAACCAUGUCGCCGCUCGAACGAAAGAGAAAGACCCUUGAAUUCGACGCAACGCUUCCCCUUUCUCUUUUUUAGCCCGCAGCCAGUCGUCGUCAGUCUCCACAGUUUCUGUAGUAGCAUCCCUUGCUGUAGAUGGCGGAGAAGAACAACAACAGGAGCCGGGUGCUGGUGAUCGGCGGCACGGGCUACAUUGGCCGCCCCAUCGUCGCCGCCAGCGCCCGCGAGGGCCACCGGACCUCCGUCCUCGUCCGCGACGCCGCGCCCGCCGACGAAGCCAAGGCCGCCGUCCUCCAGGGCUUCCGGGAUGCCGGCGUCACCCUCGUCAAGGUCAGCACUCAACAGCCGCCAUAUUCUGUUCUUAGUACCCUGUUCUGUGUGUGCUUGUUGUGUUCCUCUGUUUUUCGUUUGGGAAGUUGGUGGUGUCACCUUGGGUCAAAAUGACAGCAGAAACAAUGAUAAGACGUAGUGAACUUAAUUAUCAAUCAACAUCACUGAAAUAAAAGACAUCUGGUGGUUCUAAAUAGGGAUCAACCAAUCAGAUAAACAGUAGAUUAGACUUUCAUUUCCUGCAUUGCUUUCCCUGUGGUCGAACUUACUGCUCCAUUACGUCUUUUAAUGGAGUGUGGCCCGCAAUUUUUUUUCGGGCCGAUGAAAAAAAAGAAAGAUAAACAGUAAUAUUUGGUGAUUCCGACAAAGUAAAGAUCACGAGAAUUUAGCCUUUACCUUGGAUCGUGCACAGAAACAAAUUUGCAGCAUAUUGUGCUAGGAUUCUUCAGUGUUGACUGUUGAAUCCAGAAAGUUGUCAGCAAUUAUAUUAGGUGACUAGUUUGUGGUUAGGUUCUACACUACACAAUCCAAUUUCUCUGUAACCUACUUGUUGACAAACUUAACUCAUGUUGCUACUGCGAGAAACGAAGUUAUGUUUUUACACGGUUCCUCUGCUGUUUGACAAGUUUUUCAUGACAGUUUUUUUCUAAAGGCCGAAGAAAACCAACAAUCUUUCAAGCUAAUCAAGAAAAACAGCAAUGGCUUAAUAUGUCGGUGAUUGAAGGUUAUGUAUAACUCUAAAAUUACUGUUGGGUCACCAGGGUGAUAUUUAUGAUCAUGAGAGCUUGGUCGCAGCCAUCAAAUCCGCAGAUGUUGUGAUCUCAGCCGUGGCUCACGCACAACACGCAGAUCAAACCCGCAUUAUCGCGGCAAUCAAGGAAGCUGGGAAUGUAAAGGUGACCUCCAAAACUACCAAUAUAAGUUACUAUGCAUGCUCUUUCUGUCUUACUAAAUUUUCGACGGAGUACGUUAUAUUCAGUACUGAUUUAUGGCGCUUGUAACACGCUGCGGAUCAAAUACAUUUUUUUAUGUAAAGCAUUAGAGUGAUUGCUUUGAUUAUUAAGAUGUCCCCUAAAAUGGUCGACAAGAAAAGCUCUGAAACCAAAAUGAGUAAUUUUGUUCAAAACAUGUUGAAUUUCUGGUGUCCCUGUUUUUUUACCACCGUAAUACUUGUCGAGGUCACAUAUUGAUGCGCUCUGUGCAGAGAUUCGUACCGUCAGAGUUUGGUAACGAUGUGGAUCAUGUAAAUGCUGUUGAGCCUGCAAAAUCACUAUACGCCGGCAAAGCUGUUAUAAGGCGUGUCAUUGAGGCUGAGGGGAUUCCCUACACAUAUGUCUCUUCCAACUUCUUUGCUGGUUAUUUCUUGCCAAACAUUGGACAGGCUGGUGUGACUGGUCUCCCAACUGAUAAAGUUGUCAUUCUAGGUGAUGGCAAUGUAAAAGGUAACCCAAUCAGGCUUCCCAAACAAUGGUUUUACAUUUUUGCACUGUAAAAAGUAAUAUCUAUUUUGAUGAUGAAGUUUAAAUCCAUCAAUCAAGAAAUGAGUAUAUGCCUGCACAU
This 6654-nucleotide long non-coding RNA is filed under the name Brachypodium distachyon (stiff brome). RNAcentral's name for it is "long non-coding RNA (BDIS_LNC004200)". Lineage: Eukaryota; Viridiplantae; Streptophyta; Magnoliopsida; Poales; Poaceae. The record is from RNAcentral.